This 506-nucleotide ribosomal RNA is filed under the name uncultured Lachnospiraceae bacterium. Its description in RNAcentral is "bacterial SSU rRNA". It matches the Rfam family "Bacterial small subunit ribosomal RNA", at positions 12 to 507 of the family's 1533-position model. The record is from RNAcentral. Lineage: Bacteria; Bacillati; Bacillota; Clostridia; Lachnospirales; Lachnospiraceae.
UUUGAUCCUGGCUCAGGAUGAACGCUGGCGGCGUGCUUAACACAUGCAAGUCGAACGGGGGCGUGAUGUGCGAGAGGGAUAGUUUACUAGACUUCAAACUUUUCACGCCCUAGUGGCGGACGGGUGAGUAACGCGUGGGUAACCUGCCAUAUACAGGGGGAUAACACUUAGAAAUAGGUGCUAAUACCGCAUAAGCGCACAGGGGCGCAUGCCCCGGUGUGAAAAACUCCGGUGGUAUAUGAUGGACCCGCGUCUGAUUAGCCAGUUGGCAGGGUAACGGCCUACCAAAGCGACGAUCAGUAGCCGGCCUGAGAGGGCGGACGGCCACAUUGGGACUGAGACACGGCCCAAACUCCUACGGGAGGCAGCAGUGGGGGAUAUUGCACAAUGGGGGAAACCCUGAUGCAGCGACGCCGCGUGAGUGAAGAAGUAUUUCGGUAUGUAAAGCUCUAUCAGCAGGGAAGAAAAUGACAGUACCUGACCAAGAAGCUCCGGCUAACUACGUG